This 1880-nucleotide ribosomal RNA is filed under the name Escherichia coli. Its description in RNAcentral is "bacterial LSU rRNA". It matches the Rfam family "Bacterial large subunit ribosomal RNA", at positions 778 to 2640 of the family's 2925-position model. Lineage: Bacteria; Pseudomonadati; Pseudomonadota; Gammaproteobacteria; Enterobacterales; Enterobacteriaceae. The record is from RNAcentral.
ACCGACUAAUGUUGAAAAAUUAGCGGAUGACUUGUGGCUGGGGGUGAAAGGCCAAUCAAACCGGGAGAUAGCUGGUUCUCCCCGAAAGCUAUUUAGGUAGCGCCUCGUGAAUUCAUCUCCGGGGGUAGAGCACUGUUUCGGCAAGGGGGUCAUCCCGACUUACCAACCCGAUGCAAACUGCGAAUACCGGAGAAUGUUAUCACGGGAGACACACGGCGGGUGCUAACGUCCGUCGUGAAGAGGGAAACAACCCAGACCGCCAGCUAAGGUCCCAAAGUCAUGGUUAAGUGGGAAACGAUGUGGGAAGGCCCAGACAGCCAGGAUGUUGGCUUAGAAGCAGCCAUCAUUUAAAGAAAGCGUAAUAGCUCACUGGUCGAGUCGGCCUGCGCGGAAGAUGUAACGGGGCUAAACCAUGCACCGAAGCUGCGGCAGCGACGCUGAUGCGUUGUUGGGUAGGGGAGCGUUCUGUAAGCCUGCGAAGGUGUGCUGUGAGGCAUGCUGGAGGUAUCAGAAGUGCGAAUGCUGACAUAAGUAACGAUAAAGCGGGUGAAAAGCCCGCUCGCCGGAAGACCAAGGGUUCCUGUCCAACGUUAAUCGGGGCAGGGUGAGUCGACCCCUAAGGCGAGGCCGAAAGGCGUAGUCGAUGGGAAACAGGUUAAUAUUCCUGUACUUGGUGUUACUGCGAAGGGGGGACGGAGAAGGCUAUGUUGGCCGGGCGACGGUUGUCCCGGUUUAAGCGUGUAGGCUGGUUUUCCAGGCAAAUCCGGAAAAUCAAGGCUGAGGCGUGAUGACGAGGCACUACGGUGCUGAAGCAACAAAUGCCCUGCUUCCAGGAAAAGCCUCUAAGCAUCAGGUAACAUCAAAUCGUACCCCAAACCGACACAGGUGGUCAGGUAGAGAAUACCAAGGCGCUUGAGAGAACUCGGGUGAAGGAACUAGGCAAAAUGGUGCCGUAACUUCGGGAGAAGGCACGCUGAUAUGUAGGUGAAGCGACUUGCUCGUGGAGCUGAAAUCAGUCGAAGAUACCAGCUGGCUGCAACUGUUUAUUAAAAACACAGCACUGUGCAAACACGAAAGUGGACGUAUACGGUGUGACGCCUGCCCGGUGCCGGAAGGUUAAUUGAUGGGGUUAGCGCAAGCGAAGCUCUUGAUCGAAGCCCCGGUAAACGGCGGCCGUAACUAUAACGGUCCUAAGGUAGCGAAAUUCCUUGUCGGGUAAGUUCCGACCUGCACGAAUGGCGUAAUGAUGGCCAGGCUGUCUCCACCCGAGACUCAGUGAAAUUGAACUCGCUGUGAAGAUGCAGUGUACCCGCGGCAAGACGGAAAGACCCCGUGAACCUUUACUAUAGCUUGACACUGAACAUUGAGCCUUGAUGUGUAGGAUAGGUGGGAGGCUUUGAAGUGUGGACGCCAGUCUGCAUGGAGCCGACCUUGAAAUACCACCCUUUAAUGUUUGAUGUUCUAACGUUGACCCGUAAUCCGGGUUGCGGACAGUGUCUGGUGGGUAGUUUGACUGGGGCGGUCUCCUCCUAAAGAGUAACGGAGGAGCACGAAGGUUGGCUAAUCCUGGUCGGACAUCAGGAGGUUAGUGCAAUGGCAUAAGCCAGCUUGACUGCGAGCGUGACGGCGCGAGCAGGUGCGAAAGCAGGUCAUAGUGAUCCGGUGGUUCUGAAUGGAAGGGCCAUCGCUCAACGGAUAAAAGGUACUCCGGGGAUAACAGGCUGAUACCGCCCAAGAGUUCAUAUCGACGGCGGUGUUUGGCACCUCGAUGUCGGCUCAUCACAUCCUGGGGCUGAAGUAGGUCCCAAGGGUAUGGCUGUUCGCCAUUUAAAGUGGUACGCGAGCUGGGUUUAGAACGUCGUGAGACAGUUCGGUCCCUA